Molecule: ribosomal RNA, 253 nt
Filed under: uncultured bacterium
Lineage: Bacteria
Description: partial 16S ribosomal RNA
Rfam family: Bacterial small subunit ribosomal RNA
Source: RNAcentral
GACGAACCGUGCGAACGUUGUUCGGAUUCACUGGGCUUAAAGGGCGCGUAGGCGGCGAUUCAAGUCCGGGGUGAAAGCUUUCGGCUCAACCGGAAAAGUGCCUCGGAUACUGGAUCGCUCGAGGAGGGUAGGGGCAGGCGGAACUUCCGGUGGAGCGGUGAAAUGCGUAGAUAUCGGAAGGAACGCCGGUGGCGAAAGCGGCCUGCUGGACCCUCCCUGACGCUGAGGCGCGAAAGCCAGGGGAGCAAACGGG